CACGUAGGGCGCAAGCGUUGUCCGGAAUUAUUGGGCGUAAAGAGCUCGUAGGCGGUCUGUUGCGUCGGCUGUGAAAACCCGGGGCUCAACUCCGGGCCUGCAGCCGAUACGGGCAGACUAGAGUUCGGCAGGGGAGACUGGAAUUCCUGGUGUAGCGGUGAAAUGCGCAGAUAUCAGGAGGAACACCGGUGGCGAAGGCGGGUCUCUGGGCCGAUACUGACGCUGAGGAGCGAAAGCGUGGGGAGCGAACAGG
Molecule: ribosomal RNA, 253 nt
Filed under: uncultured bacterium
Lineage: Bacteria
Description: partial 16S ribosomal RNA
Rfam family: Bacterial small subunit ribosomal RNA
Source: RNAcentral